This 3530-nucleotide long non-coding RNA is filed under the name Homo sapiens (human). RNAcentral describes it as "uncharacterized LOC105372321, transcript variant 7 (LOC105372321)". Lineage: Eukaryota; Metazoa; Chordata; Mammalia; Primates; Hominidae. The record is from RNAcentral.
GUCUCUUGCUCCAGCCAGAGCUCGAGGUUAGCUCUUCACUGCCCUGUGUCUUCUUUCCAAGGGUCUCGGUGAUUCGGCCACAGCCUCAGCCUCCAUCACGCGGUGAACUGAUGGUGCUGGAAGAUUCAUAGACUCCAGGACAUUCCUGAAGCCGAGAAAAGGUUAAGUAGGGUCUGGCCUGGAAUACUCUCCUAGAUGAAGAUAGCCCAACCAUGAGCCACCUUCGAAGCAGAUGAGAUGAAAUUAAAGCUCUUCAACUCCUAAAGGCCCAGAGACUAUCACAAAAGAGGUCAGAAAUCCUGAAGGUCACUUUCUGACAAACUCAGGAACCCCAGGUUUAUCUUGGAGCCUCAAGAGGAGAUAAAUUCACCCAACUCAGAAUUGGAAAAAACUACUUUAAACUUCAUAUGGAACCAAAAAAGAGCCUGCACAACCAAGACAAUACUGGGCAAGAAGAACAAAGCUGGAAACAUCAGGCUACCUGGCUUCAAACUAUACUACAAGGCUACAGGAACCAAAACAGCAUGGUACUGGUACCAAACAGAUAUGUAGACCAGUGGAACAGAACAGGGCCUCAGAAAUUGAUAUCACUCUGUCACCAUCAAAAAAUACUUAUUUAGUGUCAAAUCCUACUGUGAAAUAGCAGAACUGUGGGAUUUGUAAAGUGGAAAUGCAGAAUUCAAAACAGAGAUAUAUACCAAUGGAACAGAGCAGAGGCCUCAGAAAUACCACCACACGGCUACAACAAUCUGAUCUUUGACAAACCUGACACACACAAGCAAUGAGAAAAAGAUUCCCUAUUUAAUAAAUGGUGUUGGGAAAACUGGCUAGCCAUAUGUAGAAAAUUGAAACUGGACCCCUUUCUUACCCGUUUUACAAAAAUCAACUCAAGAUGUAUCAAAGACUUAAAUGUAAGACCUAAGACCAUAAAAAUCCUAGAAGAAAACCUGGGCAGUACCAUUCAGGACAUAGGCAUGGGCAAAGCCUUCAUGUCCAAAACACCAAAAGCAGUGGCAACAAAAGCCAAAAUUGACAAAUGGGAUCUAAUUAAAUUAAAUAGCUUCUGCACAGCAAAAGAAACUCAUCAGAGUGAACAGGCAACUACAGAAUGGGAGAAAAUUCUUGCAAUCUAUCCAUCUGACAAAAGGCUAAUAUCUAGAAUCUACAAAGAAUUUAAACAGUUUACAAGAAACAAACAAACUGCCCCAUCAAAAAAUGGGCAAAGAUAUGGACAGACACUUCUCAAAAGAAAACAUUUAUGCAGCCAACAGACACAUGAAAAAAUGCUCAUCACUGGUCAUUAGAGAAAUGCAAAUCAAAACCACAAUGAGAUACCAUGUCACACCCGUUAGAAUGGCAAUCAUUAAAAAGUCAGGAAACAACAGUGCUGGAGUGGAUAUGGAGAAAUAGGAACACUUUUACACUGUUGGGAGUGUAAAUUAGUUCAACCAUUGUGGAAAACAGUGUGGCAAUUCCUCAAGGAUCUAGAACUAGAAAUAACAUUUGACCAAUUCCAUUACUGAGUAUAUACCUAAAGGAUUAUAAAUCAUUCUAUGAUAAAGACACAUGCACACGUCUGUUUAUUGUGGCACUAUUCACAAUAGCAAAGACUUGAAACCAACCCAAAUGUCCAUCAAUGAUAGACUGGGUAAAGAAAAUGUGGCACAUAUACACUGUGGAAUACUGUGCAGGUGUAAAAAAGGAUGAGUUCAUGUCCUUUGCAGGGACAUGGAUGAAGCUGGAAACCAUCAUUCUCAGCAAACUAGCACAAGAUCAGAAAACCAAACGCUGCAUGUUCUCACUCAUAAGUGGGAGUUGAACAGUGAGAACACAUGGACACAGGGAGGUGAACAUCACACACUGGGGCCUGUCAGGUGCUGGGGGGCUAAGGGAGGGAUAACAGGAAAAAUACCUAAUGUAGGUGACGGGUUGAUGGUUGCAGCAAACCACCAUGGCACAUGUGUACACGUAUGUAAUAAAACUGAUGUUCUUCACAUGUAACCCAGAACUUAAAGUAUAAUAAUAAAAAGAAGAAUAAAUAUUUGUUUUAUAUAUUUAAAGCUUAGAAUCACAAAUAAUGCUUCUGUUUAUGAUUUGAAAACUUCAAAGUUUGGUUUUCCUUCUGUACAUACACAAAACAUUGUAUUGUGCUGAAAUAUUUGUUUUUUAAAGUGGCAGUCAUAGUUCCUGUCUGUCCGGAUAUAUAUAUGUAUAUAUGUUAAGCAUAACAUAAGAAAGAAAUUUCAUUAGCUGGGCAUGAUGGCUCACUCCUGUAAUCCCAGAACCUUGGGAGGCUGAGGUGGGUGGAUUGCCUGAGGUCAGGAGUUUGAGACCAGCCUGGCCAACAUAGUGAAACCUCGUCUCUACUAAAAAUACAAAAAAUUAGGUGGGCGUGGUGGCAGGCACCUGUAAUCCCAGCUACUAGGGAGGCUGAGGCAAGAGAACGGCUUGAACCUGGGAGUCAGAGGUUGACGUGAGCCGAGAUCACACCAUUGCACUCCAGCCUGGUGACAGAGUGAGACUCUGUCUGAAAAAAAAAAAAAAAGAAAAAUUUUAUUUUGUUUUCGGUAAUCUAAGAUUGUUGUACACAAAAACUUUACAGAUUAUGGUAGGGUUUAGCAAACUGUGUAUAUAACGUAACAUUAAUAUCGCUAUUUUCUGAUGUCUAACUUUUAGGAAAGAUUUUUUGUUUACAAAUGUCUCCACAAAUUCUGGCUUAUUUUAUAAAAAUAGCAGAAUACUAAAGAAAUGGGUGGUUUGCCACACUACAUGAAUUCACACACUACUGGCAUUCAAUUAAAAUAGCAAAUAUUUUCCUCAAAAUUUAGACAGAUGAAAUAAUUUCUUGAUUUUUGAGUGCAGUGACAGACAUUCACAAAUAUUUCAGAAAUCAAAGCUGUAUUAGGUUUUACUUAGUAGUAAUAUGUAUAUAAGAUCAAGGAUCUGUUCAGAAUAGAUAUUUUUCAUCAAUAAUUUGGUGCUUUCAAAUACCCAGAAGUCUUGUUUUAAUCAGAUGAAGUCUGAGGAUAGUUUAGUAAUUUUACUUUUUGUAUGAUGUGUUCACAAUUUUCUAAUUUAACCUAGUAUUGAUUGAUGAUGGGUAAACCAACUUUUUUUUUUAAUCUCGUAGGUUUAUUAUGUUGUUGAAGAUGUUUUUAGUUAGAAUUCUGUCUUUCAAAAUUGUUUACAGAGAUUUAGGUCUAGUUGAAUUUGCUCAACCUGUUAAUCAGUGUCAGCUGCCAGAUUCUAAUUCAUUUUUAGUGUGCCUGUACUUUUCUUUCUCUAAACUAAAUUUAUAUUCUCUAUAUUACUUGUUCAAAUGUGAUAUAAUACAGCUCACACAUUUAAAACAAAACCAUGAGGACAAAUUAAUUCUGGCUUAGUAUAAAGAAGCUGUUACCAAAUUAGUGUUACAUAUGCAGAUGGAUGCAGCUCAACAAAAUUUUACACAAAAAAAAUUGAAUUGAACUACACGUGUUGCCAUGACUUAGCCUCUAAUGAUCUCGUGAAUAAAGACAAAUUUCAACACA